Molecule: ribosomal RNA, 715 nt
Filed under: Inocybe strobilomyces
Lineage: Eukaryota; Fungi; Basidiomycota; Agaricomycetes; Agaricales; Inocybaceae
Description: eukaryotic LSU rRNA
Rfam family: 5.8S ribosomal RNA (bases 303-456)
Source: RNAcentral
UAGAGGAAGUAAAAGUCGUAACAAGGUUUCCGUAGGUGAACCUGCGGAAGGAUCAUUAUCGAAUAAACUUGAACAGGCUGUUGCUGGUUCUUCUCUUAGGAGGRGGAGCAUGUGCACGCUUGUCAUUUUUUUGUUUCUCCAACUGUGCACAUAUUGUAGGACCUGGARAGAGGAUUGUCAGAGUACAGAUUGGGGACUGCUGUGCUUUCAAACAAGUCAGCUUUGCCUUGCAUUUUCCAGGCCUAUGUCAUUUUCACAACCUCUGAAUGUGUUUAGAAUGUUAUAUGAAUUAUACAUUAUACAACUUUCAGCAACGGAUCUCUUGGCUCUCGCAUCGAUGAAGAACGCAGCGAAAUGCGAUAAGUAAUGUGAAUUGCAGAAUUCAGUGAAUCAUCGAAUCUUUGAACGCACCUUGCGCUCCUUGGAAUUCCGAGGAGCAUGCCUGUUUGAGUGUCAUUAAAUUCUCAACCACGCUUAGUGGCUUGGACAUUGGGGGGUUUUGCAGGCUUUGGAAAUGAAGUCUGCUCCUCUGAAAUGCAUUAGUGGUAUCUGAGCAGAGAAACUACUGGAGGUGUGAUAAAUUAUCUAUGCCUUGGUGURCUGCAUGAAACAGAUUGCACUGCUUCGAACGAGUGAAAUCCCAUUUGGGGUGACACAUUUGACACAUUUGACCUCAAAUCAGGUAGGACUACCCGCUGAACUUAAGCAUAUCAUA